RNAcentral lists this ribosomal RNA (577 nucleotides) under Bacillus sp. A33. Its description in RNAcentral is "bacterial SSU rRNA". It matches the Rfam family "Bacterial small subunit ribosomal RNA", at positions 103 to 666 of the family's 1533-position model. Lineage: Bacteria; Bacillati; Bacillota; Bacilli; Caryophanales; Bacillaceae. The record is from RNAcentral.
CGGGUGAGUAACACGUGGGCAACCUGCCUGUAAGACUGGGAUAACUACGGGAAACCGGGGCUAAUACCGGAUAAUUCUUUCCCUCACAUGAGGGAAAGCUGAAAGAUGGUUUCGGCUAUCACUUACAGAUGGGCCCGCGGCGCAUUAGCUAGUUGGUGAGGUAACGGCUCACCAAGGCGACGAUGCGUAGCCGACCUGAGAGGGUGAUCGGCCACACUGGGACUGAGACACGGCCCAGACUCCUACGGGAGGCAGCAGUAGGGAAUCUUCCGCAAUGGACGAAAGUCUGACGGAGCAACGCCGCGUGAGUGAUGAAGGUUUUCGGAUCGUAAAACUCUGUUGUUAGGGAAGAACAAGUACCGGAGUAACUGCCGGUACCUUGACGGUACCUAACCAGAAAGCCACGGCUAACUACGUGCCAGCAGCCGCGGUAAUACGUAGGUGGCAAGCGUUGUCCGGAAUUAUUGGGCGUAAAGCGCGCGCAGGCGGUUCCUUAAGUCUGAUGUGAAAGCCCCCGGCUCAACCGGGGAGGGUCAUUGGAAACUGGGGAACUUGAGUGCAGAAGAGAAGAGUGGAA